This 609-nucleotide ribosomal RNA is filed under the name uncultured bacterium. Its description in RNAcentral is "bacterial SSU rRNA". It matches the Rfam family "Bacterial small subunit ribosomal RNA", at positions 110 to 753 of the family's 1533-position model. The record is from RNAcentral.
GUAACGCGUAAGAAUCUAACUUCAGGACGGGGACAACAGUUGGAAACGACUGCUAAUACCCGAUGUGCCGAAAGGUGAAAACUAAUUGGCCUGAAGAAGAGCUUGCGUCUGAUUAGCUAGUUGGUGGGGUAAGAGCCUACCAAGGCGACGAUCAGUAGCUGGUCUGAGAGGAUGAGCAGCCACACUGGGACUGAGACACGGCCCAGACUCCUACGGGAGGCAGCAGUGGGGAAUUUUCCGCAAUGGGCGAAAGCCUGACGGAGCAACGCCGCGUGAGGGAGGAAGGUCUUUGGAUUGUAAACCUCUUUUCUCAAGGAAGAAGUUCUGACGGUACUUGAGGAAUCAGCCUCGGCUAACUCCGUGCCAGCAGCCGCGGUAAUACGGGGGAGGCAAGCGUUAUCCGGAAUUAUUGGGCGUAAAGCGUCCGCAGGUGGUCAGCCAAGUCUGCCGUCAAAUCAGGUUGCUUAACGACCUAAAGGCGGUGGAAACUGGCAGACUAGAGAGCAGUAGGGGUAGCAGGAAUACCCAGUGUAGCGGUGAAAUGCGUAGAGAUUGGGAAGAACAUCGGUGGCGAAAGCGUGCUACUGGGCUGUAUCUGACACUCAGGGA